UGCCUAAUCAAUGAACUUGAUCUUCCAGUACAAAAGCUGAAAUACUACCAUAAGACGAGAAGACCCUGUGGAGCUUCAAACCCACACAUUACCUAAACUAAAAACAAAAAACUAAACUAAUGUGCACUUUUAGUUGGGGCAACUGCGGAGCAAAGUAAAACCUCCAUGGCCCGCACCUGGUAAGUGCACGCCCACAGGCCACCAUGCCACAAACCUAACAAUUGACCCAGCAGCGCUGAUCAUCGAACCAAGUUACCC
This 258-nucleotide ribosomal RNA is filed under the name Lygodactylus expectatus. Its description in RNAcentral is "partial large subunit ribosomal RNA". Lineage: Eukaryota; Metazoa; Chordata; Lepidosauria; Squamata; Gekkonidae. The record is from RNAcentral.